AGACCUGGAAAGAGACUCUUGCGAGGAUAUUGACGUUAAAAGAGCGAGGAUGUGGCGCACUUCCGAAAGCAAGAUCGGUUCUGGCUAAAAAGGACAGAACUUGCAACUUUUGUGGGAGUGUGGAUCGCGUCGUCCCGACGUGAAUCCGAUGCGUGAAACCAUGACUCGAAGCCAAGCGGAAACAUCCAUUGUAGCCCAUCGCAACGUCCAUCGUGCCUCGAGAGAAAUCUCCCCGUCCGGCCUGAACCAGGUGUAAGAGAGCUUGAAUCCCGUGCCGGAUUUUCACUUACUCAUAUCUCUUCGAACUUGUGUCGAUUCCCGACGGCUAGGCCCCUCAAAGGUGAUCCCCGGUGGAGGACACUUACCCAUGUAUUGCUUAAACGAUUUCUACGUCGCUCCCCAUGAUGUACGGAUGUUACAAACUCGCGCUACUGGAACAUCGAUGUUCUCAUCGGGGGCUGCGACUGUAUCUUCGAAUUACACCGAGCACCUAGAAUAAGUCUUGCACUCUCAAUUGAUCACACCACUUCCAAUGCCA
RNAcentral lists this long non-coding RNA (538 nucleotides) under Eucalyptus grandis. RNAcentral's name for it is "long non-coding RNA (EGRA_LNC004398)". The record is from RNAcentral. Lineage: Eukaryota; Viridiplantae; Streptophyta; Magnoliopsida; Myrtales; Myrtaceae.